ACGUAGGGUGCAAGCGUUAAUCGGAAUUACUGGGCGUAAAGCGUGCGCAGGCGGUUCUGUAAGACAGAUGUGAAAUCCCCGGGCUUAACCUGGGAAUUGCAUUUGUGACUGCAGGACUAGAGUUCAUCAGAGGGGGGUGGAAUUCCAAGUGUAGCAGUGAAAUGCGUAGAUAUUUGGAAGAACACCAAUGGCGAAGGCAGCCCCCUGGGAUGCGACUGACGCUCAUGCACGAAAGCGUGGGGAGCAAACAG
RNAcentral lists this ribosomal RNA (251 nucleotides) under uncultured bacterium. Its description in RNAcentral is "partial 16S ribosomal RNA". It matches the Rfam family "Bacterial small subunit ribosomal RNA", at positions 525 to 775 of the family's 1533-position model. The record is from RNAcentral.